RNAcentral lists this ribosomal RNA (483 nucleotides) under uncultured bacterium. RNAcentral's name for it is "partial 16S ribosomal RNA". It matches the Rfam family "Bacterial small subunit ribosomal RNA", at positions 30 to 507 of the family's 1533-position model. The record is from RNAcentral.
AUUGAACGCUGGCGGCAGGCCUAACACAUGCAAGUCGAGCGGAUGAAGGGAGCUUGCUCCUGGAUUCAGCGGCGGACGGGUGAGUAAUGCCUAGGAAUCUGCCUGGUAGUGGGGGAUAACGUCCGGAAACGGGCGCUAAUACCGCAUACGUCCUGAGGGAGAAAGUGGGGGAUCUUCGGACCUCACGCUAUCAGAUGAGCCUAGGUCGGAUUAGCUAGUUGGUGGGGUAAAGGCCUACCAAGGCGACGAUCCGUAACUGGUCUGAGAGGAUGAUCAGUCACACUGGAACUGAGACACGGUCCAGACUCCUACGGGAGGCAGCAGUGGGGAAUAUUGGACAAUGGGCGAAAGCCUGAUCCAGCCAUGCCGCGUGUGUGAAGAAGGUCUUCGGAUUGUAAAGCACUUUAAGUUGGGAGGAAGGGCAGUAAGUUAAUACCUUGCUGUUUGGACGUUCCAACAAAAUAAGCACCGGCUAACUUCGUG